This 253-nucleotide ribosomal RNA is filed under the name uncultured bacterium. RNAcentral's name for it is "partial 16S ribosomal RNA". It matches the Rfam family "Bacterial small subunit ribosomal RNA", at positions 524 to 776 of the family's 1533-position model. The record is from RNAcentral.
UACGGAGGGGGCGAGCGUUAUUCGGAAUUAUUGGGCGUAAAGGGCGCGUAGGCGGCCCUGCAAGUCAAAGGUGAAAUCCCUCGGCUCAACUGAGGAACUGCCUUUGAAACUGCGGGGCUUGAGGCCGGGAGGGGGUAGCGGAAUUCCCAGUGUAGCGGUGAAAUGCGUAGAGAUGUGGAGGAACACCGAUGGCGAAGGCAGCCCCCUGGGCUAACACUGACGCUCAGGCACGAAAGCGUGGGGAGCAAACAGG